Molecule: ribosomal RNA, 63 nt
Filed under: Fusarium asiaticum
Lineage: Eukaryota; Fungi; Ascomycota; Sordariomycetes; Hypocreales; Nectriaceae
Description: partial 28S ribosomal RNA
Source: RNAcentral
UUGACCUCGGAUCAGGUAGGAAUACCCGCUGAACUUAAGCAUAUCAAUAAGGCGGAGGAAUGG